RNAcentral lists this ribosomal RNA (1555 nucleotides) under Staphylococcus aureus RF122. RNAcentral's name for it is "16S ribosomal RNA". It matches the Rfam family "Bacterial small subunit ribosomal RNA". Lineage: Bacteria; Bacillati; Bacillota; Bacilli; Caryophanales; Staphylococcaceae. The record is from RNAcentral.
UUUUAUGGAGAGUUUGAUCCUGGCUCAGGAUGAACGCUGGCGGCGUGCCUAAUACAUGCAAGUCGAGCGAACGGACGAGAAGCUUGCUUCUCUGAUGUUAGCGGCGGACGGGUGAGUAACACGUGGAUAACCUACCUAUAAGACUGGGAUAACUUCGGGAAACCGGAGCUAAUACCGGAUAAUAUUUUGAACCGCAUGGUUCAAAAGUGAAAGACGGUCUUGCUGUCACUUAUAGAUGGAUCCGCGCUGCAUUAGCUAGUUGGUAAGGUAACGGCUUACCAAGGCAACGAUGCAUAGCCGACCUGAGAGGGUGAUCGGCCACACUGGAACUGAGACACGGUCCAGACUCCUACGGGAGGCAGCAGUAGGGAAUCUUCCGCAAUGGGCGAAAGCCUGACGGAGCAACGCCGCGUGAGUGAUGAAGGUCUUCGGAUCGUAAAACUCUGUUAUUAGGGAAGAACAUAUGUGUAAGUAACUGUGCACAUCUUGACGGUACCUAAUCAGAAAGCCACGGCUAACUACGUGCCAGCAGCCGCGGUAAUACGUAGGUGGCAAGCGUUAUCCGGAAUUAUUGGGCGUAAAGCGCGCGUAGGCGGUUUUUUAAGUCUGAUGUGAAAGCCCACGGCUCAACCGUGGAGGGUCAUUGGAAACUGGAAAACUUGAGUGCAGAAGAGGAAAGUGGAAUUCCAUGUGUAGCGGUGAAAUGCACAGAGAUAUGGAGGAACACCAGUGGCGAAGGCGACUUUCUGGUCUGUAACUGACGCUGAUGUGCGAAAGCGUGGGGAUCAAACAGGAUUAGAUACCCUGGUAGUCCACGCCGUAAACGAUGAGUGCUAAGUGUUAGGGGGUUUCCGCCCCUUAGUGCUGCAGCUAACGCAUUAAGCACUCCGCCUGGGGAGUACGACCGCAAGGUUGAAACUCAAAGGAAUUGACGGGGACCCGCACAAGCGGUGGAGCAUGUGGUUUAAUUCGAAGCAACGCGAAGAACCUUACCAAAUCUUGACAUCCUUUGACAACUCUAGAGAUAGAGCCUUCCCCUUCGGGGGACAAAGUGACAGGUGGUGCAUGGUUGUCGUCAGCUCGUGUCGUGAGAUGUUGGGUUAAGUCCCGCAACGAGCGCAACCCUUAAGCUUAGUUGCCAUCAUUAAGUUGGGCACUCUAAGUUGACUGCCGGUGACAAACCGGAGGAAGGUGGGGAUGACGUCAAAUCAUCAUGCCCCUUAUGAUUUGGGCUACACACGUGCUACAAUGGACAAUACAAAGGGCAGCGAAACCGCGAGGUCAAGCAAAUCCCAUAAAGUUGUUCUCAGUUCGGAUUGUAGUCUGCAACUCGACUACAUGAAGCUGGAAUCGCUAGUAAUCGUAGAUCAGCAUGCUACGGUGAAUACGUUCCCGGGUCUUGUACACACCGCCCGUCACACCACGAGAGUUUGUAACACCCGAAGCCGGUGGAGUAACCUUUUAGGAGCUAGCCGUCGAAGGUGGGACAAAUGAUUGGGGUGAAGUCGUAACAAGGUAGCCGUAUCGGAAGGUGCGGCUGGAUCACCUCCUUUCU